This 209-nucleotide ribosomal RNA is filed under the name uncultured eukaryote. Its description in RNAcentral is "partial 18S ribosomal RNA". It matches the Rfam family "Eukaryotic small subunit ribosomal RNA", at positions 604 to 819 of the family's 1831-position model. The record is from RNAcentral.
UUAAAGUUGUUGCAGUUAAAAAGCUCGUAGUUGAACCUUGGGCCUGGCUGGCCGGUCCGCCUCACCGCGUGCACUGGUCCGGCCGGGCCUUUUCUUCUGGGGAGCCGCAUGCCCUUCACUGGGUGUGUCGGGGAACCAGGACUUUUACUUUGAAAAAAUUAGAGUGUUCAAAGCAGGCCUAUGCUCGAAUACAUUAGCAUGGAAUAAUA